Molecule: ribosomal RNA, 817 nt
Filed under: uncultured Fusobacterium sp.
Lineage: Bacteria; Fusobacteriati; Fusobacteriota; Fusobacteriia; Fusobacteriales; Fusobacteriaceae
Description: bacterial SSU rRNA
Rfam family: Bacterial small subunit ribosomal RNA
Source: RNAcentral
AACGCUGACAGAAUGUUACACAUGCAAGUCAACUUGAAUUUGGGUUUUUAACUUAGGUUUGGGUGGCGGACGGGUGAGUAACGCGUAAAGAACUUGCCUCACAGCUAGGGACAACAUUUGGAAACGAAUGCUAAUACCUAAUAUUAUGAUAAUAGGGCAUCCUAUAAUUAUGAAAGCUAUAAGCGCUGUGAGAGAGCUUUGCGUCCCAUUAGCUAGUUGGAGAGGUAACGGCUCACCAAGGCGAUGAUGGGUAGCCGGCCUGAGAGGGUGAUCGGCCACAAGGGGACUGAGACACGGCCCUUACUCCUACGGGAGGCAGCAGUGGGGAAUAUUGGACAAUGGACCAAGAGUCUGAUCCAGCAAUUCUGUGUGCACGAUGAAGUUUUUCGGAAUGUAAAGUGCUUUCAGUUGGGAAGAAAGAAAUGACGGUACCAACAGAAGAAGUGACGGCUAAAUACGUGCCAGCAGCCGCGGUAAUACGUAUGUCACGAGCGUUAUCCGGAUUUAUUGGGCGUAAAGCGCGUCUAGGUGGUUAUGUAAGUCUGAUGUGAAAAUGCAGGGCUCAACUCUGUAUUGCGUUGGAAACUGUAUAACUAGAGUACUGGAGAGGUAAGCGGAACUACAAGUGUAGAGGUGAAAUUCGUAGAUAUUUGUAGGAAUGCCGAUGGGGAAGCCAGCUUACUGGACAGAUACUGACGCUGAAGCGCGAAAGCGUGGGUAGCAAACAGGAUUAGAUACCCUGGUAGUCCACGCCGUAAACGAUGAUUACUAGGUGUUGGGGGUCGAACCUCAGCGCCCAAGCAAACGCGAUAAGUAA